This 255-nucleotide ribosomal RNA is filed under the name uncultured bacterium. Its description in RNAcentral is "partial 16S ribosomal RNA". It matches the Rfam family "Bacterial small subunit ribosomal RNA", at positions 526 to 779 of the family's 1533-position model. The record is from RNAcentral.
CGUAUGUCGCAAGCGUUAUCCGGAAUUAUUGGGCAUAAAGGGCAUCUAGGCGGCCCUGUAAGUCUAGGGUGAAAACCUGCGGCUCAACCGCAGGCCUGCCCCCGGAAACUACAGGGCUAGAGUAUCGGAGAGGUGGACGGAACUGCACGAGUAGAGGUGAAAUUCGUAGAUAUGUGCAGGAAUGCCGAUGAUGAAGAUAGUUCACUGGACGGUAACUGACGCUGAAGUGCGAAAGCUAGGGGAGGCAACAGGAUU